CCAACGAGGGCACUGGGAAUUUCGCCGGCAUUUCUCAUCCCUCAAACCUCCCCACCGGCCGGCACCAAUGGAAAAAAACGCACGGAGCACGGAAAGGAGCCCGUGAGGAGCCCGCAGCACCCAUGUCGGUGCGAGGGCCGGGUCUCCAACUUCUCCCACUCUCCCUUUAGUUCCCUGCGCGGCGAGCUCCGGCCGGGGGUGGUGUACGAGGCAGCUCCGCUCCCCUCAUCCCCCCCGGCCCUAAGAUGUCUCCCUGCCGCCGGCGGGAGCAGCAGCAGCAGCAGCAGCAGCAGGAGGAGGCGGCCCGGAGCUCGGCCCCGCACCUGCCGCAGCCCUUGCGACCCCCACACCCCGAUCCGUGCCGCCGAGCAGGGAGCGGGGCAGAAAGCAGAGCGUGAAGGAGACGGAGGAGGCGGUCGCGGCCCCCAGCCCCCCGCAGCCCCCCGCUCACCUUUGCAGCGACCGGCUCAGCGCAUCUUCCCCCCUCCCCGCCUCCCGCUGCUGGCUCUGGUGGUGGCGGCGGAUCGGGGCGCCCCGCGCAGCCCCUCCCUCAGCUCCCGCUGCCUCUUCACCCCCACAUCCCGGUGCCGGCGGUGCCGGCGGCAGCUGCUCCUAAAUUCACGGCGCUCCGGCGGCAUGAAGUCAUCCUCUCCGCCCCCUCCCCGGGCCGCCGCACUCCGCUCUCGCCGAGGACGGGGAGGGGGGGUUGAGGCCGCCCCGCUGCAUCCCCCCCACCCCCCUCCCGGCUCCCUGUCCCUCAGCGCCCGGCCCCGCGGCACCGUACCAGGGCAGGGCAGGGUCCCGCGGCGCUGCGAGGCCGGAGCCGCGGGGGGAGCCUUCCCCCCGGGGUGUGCGUGUGUCUGUUUUUCAAGGAAAAUCCGCUGUAAUCCCUCGUGUGGGCGCCCGGCUCCCCCCUCCUCCUCCUCCCGCCGGCCUCAGGGCGCGCAAGCGCUUCGCAGCCUGCGCCCCCAAAAAAACGCCUUGCGCCCCCAAAAACGCCUUUCCCUGGGGGGCCGAGGGGAGCUGCUUGGUUCGGGGGGUUCUGCUCCGUGCCGGGGGGUGGAGGGCAGAAGAAGGGCCUAG
This 1083-nucleotide long non-coding RNA is filed under the name Anas platyrhynchos platyrhynchos (common mallard). RNAcentral describes it as "lncRNA (ENSAPLG00000016967.1)". Lineage: Eukaryota; Metazoa; Chordata; Aves; Anseriformes; Anatidae. The record is from RNAcentral.